Molecule: ribosomal RNA, 325 nt
Filed under: uncultured Actinomycetes bacterium
Lineage: Bacteria; Bacillati; Actinomycetota; Actinomycetes
Description: bacterial SSU rRNA
Rfam family: Bacterial small subunit ribosomal RNA
Source: RNAcentral
CACUGGGACUGAGACACGGCCCAGACUCCUACGGGAGGCAGCAGUGGGGAAUAUUGCACAAUGGGCGAAAGCUUGAUGCAGCGACGCCGCGUGAGGGAUGACGGCCUUCGGGUUGUAAACCUCUUUCAGCAGGGACGAAGCGCAAGUGACGGUACCUGCAGAAGAAGCACCGGCUAACUACGUGCCGGCAGCCGCGGUAAUACGUAGGGUGCAAGCGUUGUCCGGAAUUACUGGGCGUAAAGAGUUCGUAGGCGGUUUGUCGCGUCGUUUGUGAAAACCAGCAGCUCAACUGCUGGGUUGCAGGAGAUACGGGCAGACUUGAGUA